AGUCGUAACAAGGUUUCCGUAGGUGAACCUGCGGAAGGAUCAUUACAGAAUUUUGAGAAUUGUGCUUAACUGCACUUUUCUUAUCUACACACGUGUUUUUGUUUUAUUCUUAAAACUUGCUUUGGCAGUGGCUGCUUAAUUGCUCUGCUGCCAGAGGAUAAACUCAACCUAAAUUUUUUAUUUUAAACUAGUCAACUGAUUAUAUUUAUUAAUAGUCAAAACUUUCAACAACGGAUCUCUUGGUUCUCGCAUCGAUGAAGAACGCAGCGAAAUGCGAUAAGUAAUAUGAAUUGCAGAUAUUCGUGAAUCAUCGAAUCUUUGAACGCACAUUGCGCCCUCUGGUAUUCCGGAGGGCAUGCCUGUUUGAGCGUCAUUUCUCCCUCAAACCCCCGGGUUUGGUGAUGAGCAAUACGCCAGGUUUGCUUGAAAGUUAGGAGGAGUAUUUAUAACAAUGUAUUAGGUCUAACCACUCCAUUGUGCUUAAUAAAAAGCUCCAAUCUAUAUUUCAAACUUCGACCUCAAAUCAGGUAGGAUUACCC
Molecule: unclassified non-coding RNA, 539 nt
Filed under: Lodderomyces elongisporus
Lineage: Eukaryota; Fungi; Ascomycota; Pichiomycetes; Serinales; Debaryomycetaceae
Description: sequence contains 18S rRNA gene, ITS1, 5.8S rRNA gene, ITS2, 28S rRNA gene
Rfam family: 5.8S ribosomal RNA (bases 220-373)
Source: RNAcentral